UAUGUGAUCGUCUCUCGCAUAUCAAUAAGCGGAGGAAAAGAAACUAACAAGGAUUCCCCUAGUAACGGCGAGUGAAGCGGGAAGAGCUCAAAUUUGAAAUCUUAAAGGGUUUCCCUUUACGAAUUGUAGUUUAAAGAAGUGUUUUCUGUUGAGGUUUUGGUAAAAGUUCUUUGGAAUAGGACAUCAUAGAGGGUGAGAAUCCCGUAUUUGACCUUUACUUUCAACUUUGUGAUACACUUUCAAAGAGUCGGAUUGUUUGGGAAUGCAGUCCAAAAUGGGUGGUAAAUUUCAUCUAAAGCUAAAUAUUGGCGAGAGACCGAUAGCGAACAAGCACCGUGAGGGAAAGAUGAAAAGAACUUUGAAAAGAGAGUUAAACAGUACGUGAAAUUGUCAAAAGGGAAGCGUUUGACACCAGUGUUGUUUUUCUGAAAAUCAAUUAAAGAACUGUUUAUGCUAAGCUGUUUAGACUUUAUCAGCUAUCUGUUUAGUUUUGAGCUUUUCCUUUAAUGCACUUUUCAGUUAACAAGUCAACAUCAAUUUCUUUUGCUGUAAAAAAGCUUGAGGAAGGUGGCUUGAGAUUCGUCUUAAGUGUUUAUAGCCUCUUGCCUAUGCAGUCGGAGAGAUUGAGGUCUGCAGCGUAGAUCCUUCGGGGCUAAAUGCAUUUGUGCUAAGUUAUAGCAUUUUAUAGACAACUUGUUGACUAUGAUUUGUCUUGUAGCUUACUCGCUUAUGUUAUUUUACCUACGCUUAGGAUGUUGAGCGCAUGUCUCUCUCU
Molecule: ribosomal RNA, 775 nt
Filed under: uncultured Neocallimastigales
Lineage: Eukaryota; Fungi; Neocallimastigomycota; Neocallimastigomycetes; Neocallimastigales
Description: partial large subunit ribosomal RNA
Rfam family: Eukaryotic large subunit ribosomal RNA
Source: RNAcentral